This 497-nucleotide ribosomal RNA is filed under the name uncultured bacterium. RNAcentral's name for it is "partial 16S ribosomal RNA". It matches the Rfam family "Bacterial small subunit ribosomal RNA", at positions 28 to 507 of the family's 1533-position model. The record is from RNAcentral.
GAUGAACGCUGGCGGCGUGCCUAAUACAUGCAAGUCGAGCGAACAGACAAGGAGCUUGCUCCUCUGACGUUAGCGGCGGACGGGUGAGUAACACGUGGAUAACCUACCUAUAAGACUGGGAUAACUUCGGGAAACCGGAGCUAAUACCGGAUAACAUGUUGAACCGCAUGGUUCAACAGUGAAAGACGGUCUUGCUGUCACUUAUAGAUGGAUCCGCGCCGCAUUAGCUAGUUGGUAAGGUAACGGCUUACCAAGGCAACGAUGCGUAGCCGACCUGAGAGGGUGAUCGGCCACACUGGAACUGAGACACGGUCCAGACUCCUACGGGAGGCAGCAGUAGGGAAUCUUCCGCAAUGGGCGAAAGCCUGACGGAGCAACGCCGCGUGAGUGAAGAAGGUCUUCGGAUCGUAAAACUCUGUUAUUAGGGAAGAACAAAUGUGUAAGUAACUAUGCACGUCUUGACGGUACCUAAUCAGAAAGCCACGGCUAACUACGUG